RNAcentral lists this ribosomal RNA (490 nucleotides) under uncultured bacterium. RNAcentral's name for it is "bacterial SSU rRNA". It matches the Rfam family "Bacterial small subunit ribosomal RNA", at positions 28 to 507 of the family's 1533-position model. The record is from RNAcentral.
GAUGAACGCGUAGCGGGAGGCUUUAACACAUGCAAGUCGAGGGGCAGCAUAGGGUAGCAAUACUCUGAUGGCGACCGGCAAACGGGUGAGUAACGCGUAUGCAACCUACCCUGUACAGGGGGAUAACCCGGAGAAAUUUCGGACUAAUAUCCCGUAAUAAUAUCCGGAGGCAUCUUUGGAUAUUUAAAGUUCCGACGGUACGGGAUGGGCAUGCGUAACAUUAACUGGUUGGUAAGGUAACGGCUUACCAAGGCUAUGAUGUUUAGGGGUCCUGAGAGGGUGGUCCCCCACACUGGUACUGAGACACGGACCAGACUCCUACGGGAGGCAGCAGUGAGGAAUAUUGGUCAAUGGGCGCAAGCCUGAACCAGCCAUCCCGCGUGCAGGAAGACGGCCCUAUGGGUUGUAAACUGCUUUUCCAGGGAGAGAAACUUACGCACGUGUUGCGUGACUGACGGUACCCUGGGAAUAAGCAUCGGCUAACUCCGUG